RNAcentral lists this ribosomal RNA (495 nucleotides) under uncultured bacterium. RNAcentral's name for it is "partial 16S ribosomal RNA". It matches the Rfam family "Bacterial small subunit ribosomal RNA", at positions 29 to 506 of the family's 1533-position model. The record is from RNAcentral.
AUGAACGCUGGCGGCGUGCCUAAUACCUGCAAGUCGAGCGAACAGACGAGGAGCUUGCUCCUCUGACGUUAGCGGCGGACGGGUGAGUAACCCGUGGAUAACCUACCUAUAAGACUGGGAUAACUUCGGGAAACCGGAGCUAAUACCGGAUAAUAUAUUGAACCGCAUGGUUCAAUAGUGAAAGACGGUUUUGCUGUCACUUAUAGAUUGAUCCGCGCCGCAUUAGCUAGUUGGUAAGGUAACGGCUUACCAAGGAAACGAUGCGUAGCCGACCUGAGAGGGUGAUCGGCCAAACGGGAACUGAGACACGGUCCAGACCCCUAGGGGAGGCAGCAGUAGGGAAUCUUCCGCAAUGGGCGAAAGCCUGACGGAGCAACGCCGCGGGAGUGAUGAAGGUCUGCGGAUCGUAAAACUCUGUUAUUAGGGAAGAACAAAUGUGUAAGUAACGAUGCACGUCUGGACGGUACCUAAUCAGAAAGCCACGGCGAAUUACGG